AUGGAGGUGAGGGAGAAAAGGAAGAAAGGAGGGGCGGUGCAGCGACCUAGGCAGGAGCUCGUCGGAGCGUGGCGACGGCGGACGGGCGCGGGAGAGGGGCGGAUCCGGCGCGACGGCGAGGAGUCCUUAAAUAUUCAGACUCGUCGUAAUUCCUUAUUCAUCCUGCUGGUGUUGUUCGUCCAGAGGAAGGAGAAGAGGAAGGCGGCAACGCCGCCGGCCGGUUGGGUGACAGCAACCAGGCCACGGGUGGUGCAGCCACUCCUGCGAGUAAGAAUGAGGACUUACCACCAGUCAUCGCUUGGCUGUACAGCGACGAUUUUCGCCGAUAAUCCGUCUACUCAUACUCGACCGUUCGCCGGAACUUUGUCUGACCUGAGGUAUAUACUACUUUUUAUCACUUUUGCUUCUUCUCACCGGAUGCAUGCAUGCUUCUCCACACAGGUUUCCCUUAGUUCAGUACUUAUUUUUUUUGGUGUAUACUUUCUCCUCAUCAAUCAUGUAUACGUACAACAAAACAGAAAGAAACAUAUGUUGUUGAUCGAUACUGAACUAUCAUAUGGAAGAUAA
Molecule: ribosomal RNA, 567 nt
Filed under: Triticum aestivum (bread wheat)
Lineage: Eukaryota; Viridiplantae; Streptophyta; Magnoliopsida; Poales; Poaceae
Description: partial small subunit ribosomal RNA
Source: RNAcentral